This 301-nucleotide ribosomal RNA is filed under the name uncultured bacterium. RNAcentral describes it as "partial 16S ribosomal RNA". It matches the Rfam family "Bacterial small subunit ribosomal RNA", at positions 509 to 808 of the family's 1533-position model. The record is from RNAcentral.
CAGCAGCCACGGGAAUACGUAGGUGGCAAGCGUUGUCCGGAAUUAUUGGGCGUAAAGCGCGCGCAGGCGGCCUAUCCAGUCUGUCUUAAAAGUUCGGGGCUCAACCCCGUGAUGGGAUGGAAACUAGUAGGCUAGAGUAUCGGAGAGGAAAGCGGAAUUCCUAGUGUAGCGGUGAAAUGCGUAGAUAUUAGGAAGAACACCAGUGGCGAAGGCGGCUUUCUGGACGAAAACUGACGCUGAGGCGCGAAAGCUAGGGGAGCGAACGGGAUUAGAUACCCGUGUAGUCCCUGUCUCUUAUACC